Orbicella faveolata is the source of this 2032-nucleotide RNA transcript. RefSeq lists it as uncharacterized. The record is from RefSeq and is a predicted model, not a curated record. NCBI's taxonomy places the organism in Eukaryota, Metazoa, Cnidaria, Anthozoa, Scleractinia, Merulinidae.
UUGCUGCCUGUUGUGGAAGUGCUUGGACUGGGGGAGUAAUGGCAAGCCACCAAAUACUGCCGACAGUGGUUUUUCAGGAGGAGGUGGUAGGGGAUUCCUGAAAAGAGGACGAAGUUCGUUCGACUAGGGUGGACUAUAUGGAAGAGGUGGAGAAGGCGGGCAAGGAUUCCUCCAGGGUGGAGUGGAGGGAAGGUCAUUAUUAAAUAAUGCUACAGGAGGGUUCGGUGGUGGUGGAGGAUGUUACGGAAAUGGAGGGGGUGCUGGAGGUGGAGGCAGCUACUCAGGGGGUACUAGUGGAGGUAACGAAACUAACUCCUGCGGGGAUGGUGGUGGUUCAUAUAAUGACGGAGAAGAACAGAGUAACAGUUGUUGUUACGAUGAUAAGGGGCACGGGGUUUGUGUUUGUAAGCUAGGCCUGUUAAAAUAUCGUAAAAUGGCGGUUAUAGUCCCCAUCCAGGUCCGUUUCAAGACCGUUCAAGGCCAAUCUGUCAGCUGAGGAAAAGACAUACAGUUCUAUUCUAGCCCCAUCUAGAUAAAAGCCCUUAAUCGCUCAACUUUUCUUUUUUAAUUUACAAACGUCCUUAUAGAGCUUUAACAGAGAUAGACCCUGAAUAAGUUUGGAACUAGAGUGCAGAUCAAAACGUUUGAUCAGUGGUUUCCUUUCUAUAUAUCUCUCAUCAGAAAUUCUAAGUCAUGUCCUGUUAGCAAUUUAAUUUAAUUUCUAAACAAAAUCUCCCUUAUAAACCUCCCGAUAUAUAAUCAAACCCAGUUAUCAGUUCCAUCCAAAACCUUUUACGAAGCUGUAUAAGCCCAGUGCUCAUAGCCAGCAUUUAUGCUGCUUUAUUGGUUUGCUUUCUGGUUAACGAAAACAUCACAGGAAGGGCCUGUAAUGGCGGGUAAAAAAGCUCAAAAUAAGAACUCUGUGGCACUCGUGUAAUGCGCAAAGCAAAACAAACUCCAGUUUAUGAUUUUCGUUUCCUCUCCCUUGUAUUGCACUGCAUAUCAUUACUACACAUAGUUUUCGCAGAUAACGAACGCACGUACGUCAAAAACGUAGCAGGCUUUUGGUGGCUACUUUCACCCAAGAGAUAAGUAGUAUACUUCUCAUGAACGCUUUGUAUAUCUUAACUCUAACGAUAGUCAUCUCCGUACAGAAUGAGAAGAGAUCAAUGAACAAGAAUUUACCCAGUCUGUAUAAAACACUUUCUUUCCAGCUGAUGUUAAAAGGAAUUACGAGUCAUCUAUUUCGCGAGCAUGUUGACUCUUUAAGCUAGGGACCACAUCAUAAUGAUUAACUACAGGACUCCUGUCAACUAGGGAAGGUUUCAGAAAACUGCCAUGUCAACGUUCACUUUAAAAGGAAUAAUCCCAAGCAAAUUUUGUUAGACAAGAUGUGAGAUACAGAUUUAAUUAUACAUCUUGCCAAAGUUUCCCACGCUUUGCUGCACGGUCUCUUGAGAAGUCAAUGUCCUUUGUAAUUAACGUUUACUCGCAGAAACUGAACAAGUACAAGUUACUCGAGAGACAAGAGCGGUUUCCGACUUUGUUACUCAAAAAAAGACUUUAAAAUGUUUAGUAGUUAAUAAACUAAUUAAAUUUAGAGGUAUAAAAGUAUCAAUAUUGUAACAUAUAAGUGUCGUAAGUUUGCAACCCACUUCUUCACGUUACGUUUGUAAAAUUCAAGUAAAGCUUACAAUAAUGUUCAUUUUAUUUUUAGUUGAUGCGUUUAUUUAGCCAAUCUGUGAGAACCUAGAACAGACCAAAGAAAACCGUAUCAUUGUUGUUUAUGUUUUCAAAUUUUGAAAAGGUUUAAUCCUGAAACUAGGUUUAUUGAGUAAAGUGUAAAUGAUUUUUCUGAGUACAUUCAACUGUACAUUCUGUAAAACCCUCUUCUCGUUAAUAACCUCUAAGGCUGAAACUGGCAAAGCUUUUGAUCAAAGAUCAAAAGCUAAGAGCAUCGACUAGAAGAAGACACCACGUCUUUAUUUUAUCAAUUGGUGUCAGUGACGUAUUAAACUUAGCUCUAAACAUA